This 275-nucleotide long non-coding RNA is filed under the name Anas platyrhynchos platyrhynchos (common mallard). RNAcentral describes it as "lncRNA (ENSAPLG00000028588.1)". The record is from RNAcentral. Lineage: Eukaryota; Metazoa; Chordata; Aves; Anseriformes; Anatidae.
AUGUAUUCAAUCUACAUAAACACAGUUCACACUCAUCUUAAGAAAUGAUGUUAUUCCAACCAUUUGCUGAAGAUAUUUCUUCCACUUUGAAAUUCAUAUGGAUGUGUCCAGUGGAAGCAAAUGAAAUCAUGGGAGGAACGAGAAGAAAAGAAGGGACCUGCUGAUCAGACAGUCCUAUUCUGAGCAGGAAUCCAUGUUGUUAAUGAAAACAGUUUAAUCUCUAUUAGCAUUAAUAUUGACACAUCCUUCUUCUAUGUCUUUCCUUUGGAAGAGCG